Molecule: ribosomal RNA, 253 nt
Filed under: uncultured bacterium
Lineage: Bacteria
Also listed under: 1 other name
Description: partial 16S ribosomal RNA
Rfam family: Bacterial small subunit ribosomal RNA
Source: RNAcentral
GACAGAGGGUGCAAACGUUGUUCGGAAUCACUGGGCGUAAAGCGCGUGUAGGCGGCUGCGCAAGUCGGGCGUGAAAUCCCGUGGCUCAACCACGGAAGUGCACCCGAAACUGCGUAGCUGGAGUCUCGGAGAGGAAGGUGGAAUGCUUGGUGUAGAGGUGAAAUUCGUAGAUAUCAAGCGGAACACCAGUGGCGAAGGCGACCUUCUGGACGAUGACUGACGCUGAGACGCGAAAGCGUGGGGAGCAAACAGG